Molecule: ribosomal RNA, 424 nt
Filed under: uncultured prokaryote
Description: bacterial SSU rRNA
Rfam family: Bacterial small subunit ribosomal RNA
Source: RNAcentral
UGGGGAAUCUUGCACAAUGGGCGAAAGCCUGAUGCAGCCAUGCCGCGUGAGUGAUGAAGGCCUUAGGGUUGUAAAGCUCUUUCACCCGUGAAGAUAAUGACGGUAGCGGGAGAAGAAGCCCCGGCUAACUCCGUGCCAGCAGCCGCGGUAAUACGGAGGGGGCUAGCGUUGUUCGGAUUUACUGGGCGUAAAGGGCGCGUAGGCGGGGUAUCAAGUUAGGGGUGAAAGCCCGGGGCUCAACCUCGGAACUGCCUUUAAAACUGAUACUCUAGAGUCCGGAAGAGGGUCGCGGAAUUCCCAGUGUAGAGGUGAAAUUCGUAGAUAUUGGGAAGAACACCGGUGGCGAAGGCGGCGACCUGGUCCGGUACUGACGCUGAGGCGCGAAAGCGUGGGGAGCAAACAGGAUUAGAUACCCCUGUAGUCC